This 211-nucleotide unclassified non-coding RNA is filed under the name plant metagenome. RNAcentral's name for it is "partial contains small subunit ribosomal RNA, internal transcribed spacer 1, and 5.8S ribosomal RNA". The record is from RNAcentral.
UUUCCGUAGGUGAACCUGCGGAAGGAUCAUUCAUAAUAAAGUGUUUUAUGGCACUUUUAAAAAAUCCAUAUCCACCUUGUGUGCAAUGUUAGAUCUCGUCAAUCUUGGCGAGAUUUUUAUACAUCAACUCAUUCUUUAACUAAUUUGUCUGAAAAAUAUUAUGAAUACUUAAUUCAAAAUACAGCUUUCAACAACGGAUCUCUUGGCUCUC